RNAcentral lists this long non-coding RNA (765 nucleotides) under Nicotiana benthamiana. RNAcentral describes it as "long non-coding RNA (NBEN_LNC018281)". Lineage: Eukaryota; Viridiplantae; Streptophyta; Magnoliopsida; Solanales; Solanaceae. The record is from RNAcentral.
GGAAGCAAUGAUCAAAGAAGACAUUCAUUGAGACAGGUAGGGGAUAAGGGAGUGAAUAAGUAAAGUGCAGAUAAGUGAAGUGAACAGACAACAUGCUGGGCAGAAGUAUUCAAAUCUACUUAAAACAAAGGUCUAGCUCUUACUGUACUAAACCCCAAAAUAUAGUCAACCUCAUGGAAAGGUUUCAAAACUGUUAAGUAGCCAAGAAGUAGUACACAUGGAGAAAGAACAUGCAUUGAGAUGGGAGAGAGGAAUAGUGGAAAUUCAUGCUAAGUUGAAUUAAUAGGCCAGUAAAUAACAUGCUAAUGACAAAUAUAGAAACAAAACCACAGACAAAAGCACAUAAGAAAUAUUAUGAAUUGCAAAAUUCAUAGGAACAUGUUGUUUUAGAGACUGUAUUUCAAAUAGGUGACAUAGCAGUUGCAAAAAAUAGGAUAUAAUAGCAAUGUAAUAGUGCACAAAGGGAGAUCAAAGUGUGCAACGGAUGAGGGCACCAAUCUGGGAGUAUAAGCAGCAGGAAAAACAGUAGCAACAAUAUAAGAAUAGCAGCAGUAAUGUGAGAACAUCAACAGUAAUGUGAGAACAACAGCAGUAACAGACCCAAAUAGAACCCUACAGUCCAAAGUAACCUAUCAAGUUACUCAAUCUUGGAUGUUAGCCGAUUGAGUGUUCAAAGAAAGGAAUAAGAGAGUAUAGCAAUAGCAGAGAAAAAGAGAGUUCAGAGAGUUUUGAUUAUGAGCAGUGUGCGUUCUGUUUUCAAAAGAG